This 427-nucleotide ribosomal RNA is filed under the name uncultured bacterium. Its description in RNAcentral is "bacterial SSU rRNA". It matches the Rfam family "Bacterial small subunit ribosomal RNA", at positions 917 to 1344 of the family's 1533-position model. The record is from RNAcentral.
GGACCCGCACAAGCGGUGGAGUAUGUGGUUUAAUUCGAUGCAACACGAAGAACCUUACCAGGGUUUGAAAUCAUUUCAAAACUCCUUGAAAAAGGAGCCUCCUUCGGGAUGAAAUGACAGGUGGUGCAUGGCUGUCGUCAGCUCGUGUUGUGAAAUGUCGAGUUAAGUCUCGUAACGAGCGCAACCCUUGUCCUUAGUUACCAGCGGGUUAAGCCGGGAACUCUAAGGAUACUGCCAGUGACAAACUGGAGGAAGGCGGGGACGACGUCAAGUCAUCAUGGCCCUUACGACCAGGGCUACACACGUGCUACAAUGGUAGGUACAGAGGGCAGCUACACAGCGAUGUGAUGCGAAUCUCAAAAAGCCUAUCGUAGUCCAGAUUGGAGUCUGCAACUCGACUCCAUGAAGUAGGAAUCGCUAGUAAUCG